UGUGGUAUUUUGACUAUACAAAGGUAUUGAAAUAAGAUUUUAAUUGAAUGCUAAGAGAAUGGAAUAUCAAAAAACAACUUUCUUAAAAUUAAAAAUUGAAAUUUUUUUAAUUUGUGUAAAAACAAUUAUAAAAAUUAAAGACAAGAAGACCCUAAGAAUUUUUAAAAUUUAAAUAAUACAUUUUUUGUUUUAAUUAAAUUUUAACUGGGGCGGUUAAAAAAUAUUAAAAACUUUUUAAUUUAAAAAUGACCCAUUAUUAAUGAAAAUAUGAUUAAAUACUCUAGGGAUAACAGCGUUAUAUUUUUUGAUAGAUCAUAUUGACAAAAAAGUUUGCGACCUCGGAUGUUGGAAUUAGGAUACUUUUUU
Molecule: ribosomal RNA, 366 nt
Filed under: Rhipicephalus microplus (southern cattle tick)
Lineage: Eukaryota; Metazoa; Arthropoda; Arachnida; Ixodida; Ixodidae
Description: partial 16S ribosomal RNA
Source: RNAcentral